Amborella trichopoda is the source of this 646-nucleotide non-coding RNA. NCBI's taxonomy places the organism in Eukaryota, Viridiplantae, Streptophyta, Magnoliopsida, Amborellales, Amborellaceae. The record is from RefSeq and is a predicted model, not a curated record.
AAAACUUAAAAAUAAGGGAUAUGGAGAUAUUUUUUAUGGUCUCAUUAUAUACAAUCCCUUAAAAAAUUAAGUCCUAAAUCAUCCUCAAAAAUAGAUUGUGAAGAGCCAGCGCAUUAUCUACCGAUGUGUCCUAGGACUCAUAAAAUGCCCUUCAAGUAAGUUUGCAUUUCCUGUUGACUGUUAUGUUACACUCAAAUUUGGCAGGACGCUAAACAAUAACAACAUAACUGGGAGCAUUCCUGCGGAGUUUGGCAAACUGAAAAGCCUUGUGAGCCUGGAUCUCCAACAAAACAGAUUGAAUGGCCCCAUUCCUCAGUCUCUUGCCAACUUAACAUCUCUCAAGUAUUUACGGUUGAACAAUAAUAAACUAUCAGGUGUAAUUCCGAAAGCCAUCGUAGAUUUGGCGAUUGUUGGAAAACUCCGGCUAUUGAAUGUCACAAACAAUUUAUUGGCGGGCACGAAUAAAAACUAUCCAAAAAGAGCUACAAUGAUACUCCAAGAUGGAAAUGCCCCGUUUUGAUGGAUCUCCAAGAAUGUGUCAACUAUGGAAGAAUGUAACUAAUAUUCAUUACUAAGAAAUAAAUAUUGAUGCCAUGUCAAGAGAGUUAUUAUUUAUUAAUGAAUAAACUUAGUUAUUGAGAUACUC